GGGGGCGUGGCGGAAUGGUAGACGCUGCGGACUUAAAAUCCGUUGACCGAAUAAGUCGUGAGGGUUCAAGUCCCUCCGCCCCCA
This 84-nucleotide transfer RNA is filed under the name Cyanothece sp. PCC 7425. RNAcentral's name for it is "tRNA-Leu (TAA) (tRNA-Leu-TAA-1-1)". It matches the Rfam family "tRNA". From Rfam's summary of the family: Transfer RNA (tRNA) molecules are approximately 80 nucleotides in length. Their secondary structure includes four short double-helical elements and three loops (D, anti-codon, and T loops). Lineage: Bacteria; Bacillati; Cyanobacteriota; Cyanophyceae; Gomontiellales; Cyanothecaceae. The record is from RNAcentral.